CAUGUCUGUCAUCGAGUAUCUGAAACAUUACUUUGACUGGUCUGAUUUGCAGCGUCAGUUCAACAGACGCGAUGUGGAAAUGGAAUUGACUGGGUUGAAAGUCACUGUCACUCACCGGAAGAACAAACAGAAACUCACCAUUGUAGGACUGAGUAGGAAAGACACUAAAGACGAAGGAUUCGAGCUAAUCGAUGAAAAGGGGAAUGAGCCGCCGAGGAAGACGUCCAUUGUUGAGUAUUUCAGGAUUAAGUAUGGAAAAGACAUUGUUCACAAGAACAUUCCCUGCUUGGAUUUGGGUAAAAACGGACGGCAAAACUUGGUGCCCAUGGAGCUGUGCAUUUUGGUUGAAGGACAGGUUUACCCAAAGGAACGCUUGGGUAGAAAUUCAGCCUUGUGGUUGAAAACGCUGUCACUAGUGAAUCCACAGCAAAGGCGGAGGAAUAUACUCAAGAUGAUAGAGUCCAAUGAUGGUCCUAGCGGUGGAGAGAUUAUUGGCAACUUUGGGAUGAAAGUCGAUACAGAGAUGACACCUGUGGUAGGUCGUGUUCUCAAGGCUCCGGCGUUGAAGUUGGCAGAGAGGGGCAAACCUGUCCGUGAGGAACCGGGACGUAACAAUCAAUGGAACCUUAUGAAGAAGGGAGUCACGAGGGGUUCAGUAGUCAAGCAUUGGGCUGAUAUAUAUAUAUUAAUCUGAAUAUAUAUUAAAUGUAAUUUUUACUCAUAUGCUUUGAUGAUCAUUUGUAUCUUAUUAUAACAAAAAUUCAAACUAUUAAUCACAAAAUUUUUAAUACGAGACUUUUAAUAUUUAUGUAAUUUAGUGCUUUAAAAAUAUAAUAUAUACAAAAAAAUUAAUUUUUUAUUAUAUGAUUAAUAUAAUUGUUUAAUUAUUUUAAUAAUAUAACAUUAAACGAAAAUUAAAAUAUAAUUGUUUACUUUUUUUGUUUUGUUCGAGGAACAUUCGGGAACGUUGAGAAGUCAUUCUCAUACUCCUUACGAGCUAAGCUAAACUUGUGUCACACACACUUUUUCCUUGUUUUUUUUUUUUUUUUUUGAACUGAACACUUUUUCCUUGUUCCAUUAUAAAAAGACCUCUCUCUCUCUCUCUCUCGGAAUCAGUUAGUUAAAAGCGAUCACAUAAGAAAGUUUCCUCUAUUCAUCAAAUCUUUCCGAGUUUUUCCCGAUCAUAUCCAAUCAACAUGGAGAGAGGUCGUUACCGUGGAGGUCGUGGAGGUGAUGGCCGUGGCAGAAGCGGCGGAGAUCGCGGUCGUGGCUAUGGAGCUGGCGGCGGAGGAGAUCGAGGUCGUGGUUAUGGAGCUCGCGGCGGCGAUUUUGGAAAUCGUGGACAGAGUUCCGGUGGAAGUGGUGGUGGAUACGAUCGGAAUCAAGAGGAAGUCCGAAGCCAGAGUCAGUGGGGACCACCGCCGGGUCACGGUGGCCGUGGGGCACAGUCGCAGCAACAGGCGGUCCAACAACCGCCACAGGCUCAAGUGAGUCAACCAGGAGGCGUCGGCAGAGGCGCGUGGGGUCGUAAGCCACAGAUUUCUUCAGAUACGGCGGCGGCUGUCCCGCCUUCUUCUCCGUCAACCGUCUCAGUUUCUGAAACGGCUCGUGGUAUGCAGAAUAAAACCUAAUUUAUAGCAAUUUUUUUACACGGUUCCUGUAGCAAUGAUUGGAACGUGAUUUACAUUAACCGUUUCUAUUUGAAUUAGUCAAUAGCUUUUGAUGAAUGUUUCUUUUGAUUAACAAUCAGUUUCAUGUUUUUAAUUUGAAAUGACGAAUCCGGAAGAAGCUUCUUCUUCUUCUUCGGUUCAAGUUGCUUCUACCGAGAGGAAAACACCAAUGAGACGUCCUGAUAAAGGCGGUGUUGUUGCUGUGCGUCGUGUAAACCUCUUGGUCAACCACUUCCGAGUCCACAUUGAUCCCGAAACUGUCAUUAAGCAUUACGAUGUUGACAUCAAACCAGAAAUUUCCACUAAGAAGAUAUCUAGGUUCGAGCUUUCCAUGGUCAGGGACAAGCUGUUCACCGACAAUCCCGGCGAGUUUCCACUCGCCAUGACCGCCUAUGAUGGUCAGAAGAAUAUCUUCAGCGCAGCGCAACUGCCUACUGGUUCUUAUAAGGUGGAUUUUCCCGAGACGGAAGAGACGAGAGCUCGAAGCUAUACGUUCACCAUCAAGCAGGUGAAUGAGCUCAUGCUCCGUGACUUGAGAGAGUACAUGACAGGGGGCUCGUCUCUCAACCCUCGUGAUGUACUUCAAGGGAUGGAUGUUGUGAUGAAGGAGCAUCCUUCAAAGUCUAUGAUAACCGUCGGUAAAAGCUUCUUCACCCGCGAGACUAAGAGCGAUGAUGAUGACUUAGGUUUCGGUCUUGCUGCUGCCAAAGGAUACAGACACGCUCUGAAGCCGACAGCGCAAGGUUUAUCCUUGUGCUUGGACUACUCGGUGUUGGCGUUCCGGAAGUCCAUGUCUGUCAUCGAGUAUCUGAAACAUUACUUUGACUGGUCUGAUUUGCAGCGUCAGUUCAACAGACGCGAUGUGGAAAUGGAAUUGACUGGGUUGAAAGUCACUGUCACUCACCGGAAGAACAAACAGAAACUCACCAUUGUAGGACUGAGUAGGAAAGACACUAAAGACGAAGGAUUCGAGCUAAUCGAUGAAAAGGGGAAUGAGCCGCCGAGGAAGACGUCCAUUGUUGAGUAUUUCAGGAUUAAGUAUGGAAAAGACAUUGUUCACAAGAACAUUCCCUGCUUGGAUUUGGGUAAAAACGGACGGCAAAACUUGGUGCCCAUGGAGCUGUGCAUUUUGGUUGAAGGACAGGUUUACCCAAAGGAACGCUUGGGUAGAAAUUCAGCCUUGUGGUUGAAAACGCUGUCACUAGUGAAUCCACAGCAAAGGCGGAGGAAUAUACUCAAGAUGAUAGAGUCCAAUGAUGGUCCUAGCGGUGGAGAGAUUAUUGGCAACUUUGGGAUGAAAGUCGAUACAGAGAUGACACCUGUGGUAGGUCGUGUUCUCAAGGCUCCGGCGUUGAAGUUGGCAGAGAGAGGCAAACCUGUCCGUGAGGAACCGGGACGUAACAAUCAAUGGAACCUUAUGAAGAAGGGAGUCACGAGGGGUUCAGUAGUCAAGCAUUGGGCUGUUCUUGACUUCACUGCCUCUGAGAGGAACACCAACUCCAGGAUGGCUGACAACUUUGUGGGCCUGCUUAUUAAUCGUUGUAAGACACUUGGGAUGCAGCUGAGGGAUCCCAUCAUUUUCAAAUCAGCAAGAAUGAAUUUGCUUUCUAAUGCUAAUGCUCUCGAGGAUUUGCUUCGACAAGUGAUUGACGAGGCUAAGCAUAACCAUGGUGGGGCUCGCCCAACUCUUGUUCUGUGUGCUAUGUCUGGGAGGGUUGAUGGCUACAAGACUCUCAAAUGGAUAGCCGAGACCAAGCUUGGUCUGGUGACUCAGUGUUUCUUGACCAAUUCCGCCAGUAGAGGAGGUGACCAGUAUCUGGCAAAUCUCGCCCUCAAGAUCAAUGCAAAAGUUGGCGGAAGUAAUGUUGAGCUGAUGGAUAGUGGCUACUCUUUCUUCAAAAGAGAGGACGAGGUCAUGUUCAUUGGUGCUGACGUCAACCAUCCUGCUGCUCGAGACACGACGAGCCCCUCCAUUGUUGCUGUUGUGGGCACUCUAAACUGGCCUGAAGCUAACCGUUACGCAGCUAGAGUCAUUGCACAGCCUCGCCGGAAAGAGGAGAUUCAAGGAUUUGGUGACACGUGCUUUGAGCUUGUUAAAGCUCAUUAUCAGGUCACAAGGAAACGGCCUAACAAGAUUGUUAUCUUCCGUGAUGGUGUCAGUGAUGGUCAGUUCGACAUGGUUCUUAAUCGUGAGUUGCUUGAUGUGAAGCUUACUUUUGAGAGGGACA
RNAcentral lists this long non-coding RNA (3898 nucleotides) under Brassica napus (rape). RNAcentral describes it as "long non-coding RNA (BNAP_LNC004272)". The record is from RNAcentral. Lineage: Eukaryota; Viridiplantae; Streptophyta; Magnoliopsida; Brassicales; Brassicaceae.